CCCGCUGAACUUAAGCAUAUCAAUAAGCGGAGGAAAAGAAACUAACAAGGAUUCCCCUAGUAACUGCGAGUGAAGCGGGAAAAGCUCAAAUUUCAAAUCUGGCGGUCCCGCCGCCCGAGUUGUAUUCUGGAGAAGCGUCUUCUGCGCCGGACCGUGUACAAGUGCCUUGGAACAGGACGUCACAGAGGGUGAGAAUCCCGUCUUUGACACGGACCUCCGGCGCUCCGCGAUGCGCUCUCGAAGAGUCGAGUUGUUUGGGAAUGCAGCUCAAAACGGGUGGUAAACUCCAUCUAAAGCUAAAUAUUGGCGAGAGACCGAUAGCGCACAAGUACCGUGAGGGAAAGAUGAAAAGGACUUUGAAAAGAGAGUUAAACAGUACGUGAAAUUGUUGAAAGGGAAACGCUUGAAGUCAGUCGCGUCCUUCAGAAAUCAACUUUGACCUUUGGGUUUGAGUGCACUUUCUGUUUGGACGGGUCAGCAUCAAUUUUGACCGCCGGAAAAGGGCUUGGGGAAAGUGACAUCCUUUGUUGAUGUGUUAUAGACUCGGGUACAUAUUACGGUGGUUGGGAUUGAGGAACGCAGCGCAUUUAACUGGGGCCUAUCGCUCACACAUGUGCUUAGGAUGCUGGCUUAAUGGCUUUAAUCGACCCGUCUUGAAACACGG
RNAcentral lists this ribosomal RNA (664 nucleotides) under uncultured fungus. RNAcentral's name for it is "eukaryotic LSU rRNA". It matches the Rfam family "Eukaryotic large subunit ribosomal RNA", at positions 24 to 664 of the family's 3401-position model. Lineage: Eukaryota; Fungi. The record is from RNAcentral.